GGGGAAUAUUGGACAAUGGGCGAAAGCCUGAUGCAGCGACGCCGCGUGAGGGAUGACGGCCUUCGGGUUGUAAACCUCUUUCAGCAGGGAAGAAGCGAAAGUGACGGUACCUGCAGAAGAAGCGCCGGCUAACUACGUGCCAGCAGCCGCGGUGAUACGUAGGGUGCGAGCGUUGUCCGGAAUUAUUGGGCGUAAAGAGCUUGUAGGCGGUCCGUCACGUCGGAAGUGAAAACUCAGGGCUUAACCCUGAGCCUGCUUUCGAUACGGGCAGACUUGAGGGAUGUAGGAGAGAACGGAAUUCCUGGUGGAGCGGUGGAAUGCGCAGAUAUCAGGAGGAACACCAGUGGCGAAGGCGGUUCUCUGGACAUUUCCUGACGCUGAGAAGCGAAAGCGUGGGGAGCAAACA
RNAcentral lists this ribosomal RNA (406 nucleotides) under uncultured Propionicimonas sp. RNAcentral describes it as "bacterial SSU rRNA". It matches the Rfam family "Bacterial small subunit ribosomal RNA", at positions 356 to 774 of the family's 1533-position model. Lineage: Bacteria; Bacillati; Actinomycetota; Actinomycetes; Propionibacteriales; Nocardioidaceae. The record is from RNAcentral.